UUUAAUUGAAGAGUUUGAUCAUGGCUCAGAUUGAACGCUGGCGGCAGGCUUAACACAUGCAAGUCGAGCGGUAGCAGGGAGAAAGCUUGCUUUCUCCGCUGACGAGCGGCGGACGGGUGAGUAAUGUCUGGGGAUCUGCCUGAUGGAGGGGGAUAACUACUGGAAACGGUAGCUAAUACCGCAUAACGUCGCAAGACCAAAGUGGGGGACCUUCGGGCCUCAUG
RNAcentral lists this ribosomal RNA (224 nucleotides) under Edwardsiella anguillarum. RNAcentral's name for it is "partial 16S ribosomal RNA". It matches the Rfam family "Bacterial small subunit ribosomal RNA", at positions 1 to 217 of the family's 1533-position model. Lineage: Bacteria; Pseudomonadati; Pseudomonadota; Gammaproteobacteria; Enterobacterales; Hafniaceae. The record is from RNAcentral.